This 460-nucleotide ribosomal RNA is filed under the name uncultured bacterium. Its description in RNAcentral is "partial 16S ribosomal RNA". It matches the Rfam family "Bacterial small subunit ribosomal RNA", at positions 338 to 795 of the family's 1533-position model. The record is from RNAcentral.
CCUACGGGAGGCAGCAGUGAGGAAUAUUGGUCAAUGGACGAGAGUCUGAACCAGCCAAGUAGCGUGAAGGAUGACUGCCCUAUGGGUUGUAAACUUCUUUUAUAAAGGAAUAAAACGAGGCACGUGUGCCUUUUUGCAUGUACUUUAUGAAUAAGGAUCGGCUAACUCCGUGCCAGCAGCCGCGGUAAUACGGAGGAUCCGAGCGUUAUCCGGAUUUGUUGGGGUUAAAGGGAGCGUAGAUGGGUUGUUAAGUCAGUUGUGAAAGUUUGCGGCUCAACCGUAAAAUUGCAAUUGAUACUGGCAGUCUUGAGUACAGUUGAGGUAGGCGGAAUUCGUGGUGUAGCGGUGAAAUGCUUAGAUAUCACGAAGAACCCCGAUUGCGAAGGCAGCUUACUAAACUGUGACUGACAUUGAUGCUCGAAAGUGUGGGUAUCAAACAGGAUUAGAUACCCGUGUAGUC